Molecule: non-coding RNA, 404 nt
Organism: Arachis ipaensis
Lineage: Eukaryota; Viridiplantae; Streptophyta; Magnoliopsida; Fabales; Fabaceae
Source: RefSeq, a predicted model, not a curated record
CUCAGCAGAAAGUAAUCUCCUGAAAUUCAAUCUAUGUACUGUUUGUUGCCUUCCACCAAAGCGGAUACCUUCCAUGCUUGUUUGUUCCUUGUAAACAUACAGUCCCCAUUGAAGUGGGAUGAUGUCUGGUUGCAAAACAACACAUGAUUUUCUGCAACUCUGAAAUUAUGCGAUGGUUGGUAUGCAGAGCUUACAUCUCUAGAGUCAAUGGACAAGUGCAGCCUAACAGGUUGAUACUUCAUUUCUCCAAACGCAAUUGCCAAAGCCACAACAGGGAACUUGCCACGUGCCUUGAAAUUCAGAGUUUUUAAAAUUGGACGGCUCUCUGCAGUAGUUGAAAGGCUUUCUCUGAAUCCUGCAAAUGAUCGACCAAGUUGAGGGCAUCCUCCAACUUUCAAUGUGAC